Molecule: ribosomal RNA, 917 nt
Filed under: uncultured archaeon
Lineage: Archaea
Description: bacterial SSU rRNA
Rfam family: Archaeal small subunit ribosomal RNA
Source: RNAcentral
UUUCCGGUUGAUCCUGCCGCCGGCCACCGCUAUCAAGUUCCGACUAAGCCAUGCGAGUCAAGGUAUCGUAAGAUGCCGGCAAACUGCUCAGUAACACGUGGAUAAUCUAACCUUGAGUAAGGGAUAACCUCGGGAAACUGAGGAUAAUACCUUAUAAUUGCUUAAAACUGGAAUGUUUAAGCAAUAAAAGUUCCGACGCUCAAGGAUGAGUCUGCGACCUAUCAGGUAGUAGGUGGUGUAAUGGACCACCUAGCCUCAGACGGGUACGGGCCCUGGGAGGGGUAGCCCGGAGAUGGACUCUGAGACAUCAGUCCAGGCCCUACGGGGCGCAGCAGGCGCGAACACUGUGCAAUGCGCGAAAGCGCGACACGGGGAGCUUGAGUGUCUUGGCAUAGCCAAGACUUUUCUCAUUCCUAAAAAGCAUGAGGAAUAAGUGCUGGGUAAGACGGGUGCCAGCCGCCGCGGUAACACCCGCAGCACAAGUGGUGGUCACUUUUAUUGAGCCUAAAGCGUUCGUAGCCGGUUUUGUAAAUCUUUAGAUAAAGCCUGAAGCUUAACUCCAGAAAGUCUGAAGAGACUGCAAGACUUGAGAUCGGGUGAGGUUAAACGUACUUUCAGGGUAGGGGUAAAAUCCUGUAAUCCCGGAAGGACGACCAGUGGCGAAAGCGUUUAACUAGAACGAAUCUGACGGUAAGGAACGAAGGCUAGGGUAGCAAACCGGAUUAGAUACCCGGGUAGUCCUAGCUGUAAACACUGCCCAUUUGAUGUUGCUUUUCCGUUGAGGGAAGGCAGUGUCGGAGCGAAGGUGUUAAAUGGGCCGCUUGGGAAGUAUGGUCGCAAGACUGAAACUUAAAGGAAUUGGCGGGGGAGCACCGCAACGGGAGGAAUGUGCGGUUUAAUUGGAUUCAACGCCGGAA